UACGUAGGGUGCAGGCGUUAAUCGGAAUUACUGGGCGUAAAGCGUGCGCAGGCGGUUUGUUAAGACAGGUGUGAAAUCCCCAGGCUCAACCUGGGAACUGCGUCCGAUACUGGCAGGCUUGAAUCCGGGAGAGGGAUGUGGAAUUCCAGGUGUAGCGGUGAAAUGCGUAGAUAUCUGGAGGAACACCGGUGGCGAAGGCGGCAUCCUGGACCAAUACUGACGCUGAGUGAGCGAAAGCCAGGGGAGCAAACGGG
This 254-nucleotide ribosomal RNA is filed under the name uncultured bacterium. Its description in RNAcentral is "partial 16S ribosomal RNA". It matches the Rfam family "Bacterial small subunit ribosomal RNA", at positions 524 to 776 of the family's 1533-position model. The record is from RNAcentral.